UUGGUGCUUGCAUCAUGAUUUACAUUUGAGUGAGUGGCGAACUGGUGAGUAACACGUGGGAAACCUGCCCAGAAGCGGGGGAUAACACCUGGAAACAGAUGCUAAUACCGCAUAACAACUUGGACCGCAUGGUCCGAGUUUGAAAGAUGGCUUCGGCUAUCACUUUUGGAUGGUCCCGCGGCGUAUUAGCUAGAUGGUGGGGUAACGGCUCACCAUGGCAAUGAUACGUAGCCGACCUGAGAGGGUAAUCGGCCACAUUGGGACUGAGACACGGCCCAAACUCCUACGGGAGGCAGCAGUAGGGAAUCUUCCACAAUGGACGAAAGUCUGAUGGAGCAACGCCGCGUGAGUGAAGAAGGGUUUCGGCUCGUAAAACUCUGUUGUUAAAGAAGAACAUAUCUGAGAGUAACUGUUCAGGUAUUGACGGUAUUUAACCAGAAAGCCACGGCUAACUACGUGCCAGCAGCCGCGGUAAUACGUAGGUGGCAAGCGUUGUCCGGAUUUAUUGGGCGUAAAGCGAGCGCAGGCGGUUUUUUAAGUCUGAUGUGAAAGCCUUCGGCUCAACCGAAGAAGUGCAUCGGAAACUGGGAAACUUGAGUGCAGAAGAGGACAGUGGAACUCCAUGUGUAGCGGUGAAAUGCGUAGAUAUAUGGAAGAACACCAGUGGCGAAGGCGGCUGUCUGGUCUGUAACUGACGCUGAGGCUCGAAAGUAUGGGUAGCAAACAGGAUUAGAUACCCUGGUAGUCCAUACCGUAAACGAUGAAUGCUAAGUGUUGGAGGGUUUCCGCCCUUCAGUGCUGCAGCUAACGCAUUAAGCAUUCCGCCUGGGGAGUACGGCCGCAAGGCUGAAACUCAAAGGAAUUGACGGGGGCCCGCACAAGCGGUGGAGCAUGUGGUUUAAUUCGAAGCUACGCGAAGAACCUUACCAGGUCUUGACAUACUAUGCAAAUCUAAGAGAUUAGACGUUCCCUUCGGGGACAUGGAUACAGGUGGUGCAUGGUUGUCGUCAGCUCGUGUCGUGAGAUGUUGGGUUAAGUCCCGCAACGAGCGCAACCCUUAUUAUCAGUUGCCAGCAUUAAGUUGGGCACUCUGGUGAGACUGCCGGUGACAAACCGGAGGAAGGUGGGGAUGACGUCAAAUCAUCAUGCCCCUUAUGACCUGGGCUACACACGUGCUACAAUGGAUGGUACAACGAGUUGCGAACUCGCGAGAGUAAGCUAAUCUCUUAAAGCCAUUCUCAGUUCGGAUUGUAGGCUGCAACUCGCCUACAUGAAGUCGGAAUCGCUAGUAAUCGCGGAUCAGCAUGCCGCGGUGAAUACGUUCCCGGGCCUUGUACACACCGCCCGUCACACCAUGAGAGUUUGUAACACCCAAAGUCGGUGGGGUAA
Molecule: ribosomal RNA, 1389 nt
Filed under: Lactobacillus sp.
Lineage: Bacteria; Bacillati; Bacillota; Bacilli; Lactobacillales; Lactobacillaceae
Description: bacterial SSU rRNA
Rfam family: Bacterial small subunit ribosomal RNA
Source: RNAcentral